This is a long non-coding RNA of Cygnus olor (mute swan), 458 nucleotides long. RefSeq lists it as uncharacterized. NCBI's taxonomy places the organism in Eukaryota, Metazoa, Chordata, Aves, Anseriformes, Anatidae. The record is from RefSeq and is a predicted model, not a curated record. The transcript has 2 exons.
UUUCUUUCCUGAAAUCCUGGUUUGGCUUGUGCUGAAGGAUUUUCUAGAAAGUACUCUGCUGUGCUUCACAGUGGCUAAUCAACAAGGAUCUCCCUGAAACCCAGAGCUGUUUUGACUGCUAUUAUAACCAAAAUCACAGCUCAGGAGCUUGGUGCUGUCACCUCCUGGGAAUGCAUCAGCUUGGGGAACACAAGGCAGUGCCUAUUGGCAGGGGAAAAACAAAGCAGCAAGUGGACUAAAAUGUGGAGAAAUGCUACUUCAAUACCACAUAAACAUUUCUGUAACCUUAAAAGUUUUGUUAGAAGAAACUACGGAUAUUAUCUGUUCAACUUUCUGCUUGAAGAAGGACCAGCACCAGGGCAUGUCAGCUGUGGUUUUGUCACUGAGACUGGAAAAACUCUAGUGACAGAGUUAUCAAUCCUGUAUUUUGUCCGAGAUUAUUAAAGAGAAAAGUAGUU